UGAGGAAUAUUGCACAAUGGGCGCAAGCCUGAUGCAGCGACGCCGCGUGAGUGAUGAAGGCCUUCGGGUCGUAAAGCUCUUUUCUAGGUGACGAGAAUGGACGGUAGCCUAGGAAUAAGUGUCGGCUAACUACGUGCCAGCAGCCGCGGUAAAACGUAGGACACAAACGUUAUCCGGAGUUACUGGGCGUAAAGGGCGCGCAGGCGGAUUGGUAAGUCUACUCUGAAAGCUCCUGGCUAAACUGGGAGAGGCGAGUGGAGACUGUCAGUCUAGAGUGAGGAAGAGGAAAGUGGAAUUCCGCGUGUAGUGGUGAAAUGCGUAGAGAUGCGGAGGAACACCAGUGGCGAAAGCGGCUUUCUGGUCCUUAACUGACGCUGAGGCGCGAAAGCAUGGGGAGCGAACGGGAUUAGAAACCCCGGUAGUCCAUGCCGUAAACGAUGUUCACUAAACGUUCGUUUCCCGCGAGGGAAGCGGGUGUUGAAGCUAACGCAGUAAGUGAACCGCCUGGGGAGUACGGUCGCAAGGCUA
RNAcentral lists this ribosomal RNA (528 nucleotides) under uncultured bacterium. RNAcentral's name for it is "bacterial SSU rRNA". It matches the Rfam family "Bacterial small subunit ribosomal RNA", at positions 355 to 896 of the family's 1533-position model. The record is from RNAcentral.